Molecule: ribosomal RNA, 401 nt
Filed under: uncultured bacterium
Lineage: Bacteria
Description: partial 16S ribosomal RNA
Rfam family: Archaeal small subunit ribosomal RNA
Source: RNAcentral
ACACCGGCAGCUCUAGUGGUAGCUGUUUUUAUUGGGCCUAAAGCGUUCGUAGCCGGUUUGGCAAGUCGCUGGUGAAAUCCUGUAGAUUAACUGUGGGUAUUGCUGGUGAUACUGUUGAACUUGAGGUCGGGAGAGGUUAGCGGUACUCCCAGGGCAGAGGUGAAAUUCUGUAAUCCUGGGAGGACAACCUGUGGCGAAGGCGGCUAACUAGAACGAACCUGACGGUGAGGGACGAAAGCUAGGGUCGCGUACCGGAUUAGAUUCCCGGGUAGUCCUAGCCGUAAACGAUGCGGACUUGGUGUUGGGAUGGCUUUGAGCCGCUUCGUUUCCGAAGUGAAGCUGUUAAGUCCGCCGCCUGGGAAGUACGGUCGCAAGACUGAAACUUAAAUGAAUUGGCGGGG